CACACCGCCCGUCACACCAUGGGAGUUGGCUUUACCCGAAGACGGUGCGCUAACCAGCAAUGGAGGCAGCCGGCCACGGUAGGGUCAGCGACUGGGUG
RNAcentral lists this ribosomal RNA (98 nucleotides) under uncultured bacterium. RNAcentral describes it as "partial 16S ribosomal RNA". It matches the Rfam family "Bacterial small subunit ribosomal RNA", at positions 1386 to 1482 of the family's 1533-position model. The record is from RNAcentral.